This 87-nucleotide transfer RNA is filed under the name Candidatus Tagabacteria bacterium RIFCSPLOWO2_01_FULL_42_9. RNAcentral's name for it is "tRNA-Ser". It matches the Rfam family "tRNA". From Rfam's summary of the family: Transfer RNA (tRNA) molecules are approximately 80 nucleotides in length. Their secondary structure includes four short double-helical elements and three loops (D, anti-codon, and T loops). Lineage: Bacteria; Candidatus Tagaibacteriota. The record is from RNAcentral.
GGCGAGGUGCCUGAGUGGCUGAAAGGGUCGGUCUCGAAAACCGAUAUGGUCGCAAGGCCAUCGUGAGUUCGAAUCUCACCCUCGCCG